This is a long non-coding RNA of Schistocerca americana (American grasshopper), 938 nucleotides long. RefSeq lists it as uncharacterized. The record is from RefSeq and is a predicted model, not a curated record. Lineage: Eukaryota; Metazoa; Arthropoda; Insecta; Orthoptera; Acrididae. The transcript has 3 exons.
UAACAUUUGUUGCGGAAAUCUUGUUCUCACUGCCAUAUGCGAUUCGGAUAGUUAAUGAGAAUCUGCUCAAAAUGUCACACAAGUGCUGUAUGCCCUAUUGUAGGGGAAACUACGACAACGGUUUAAAAGUUAGCGUCUUUUCAUUCCCGUCUGAUGAAGCAUUAAGAUUGAAACGGAUCGCUGCAGUUCAUAGGAAUGACUGGGAACCCAGUAAACAGUUCGUUAUAUGUGAACUGAUUUCACUGCAGACGACAUUGAGAAAAUUACCAGUGCUUACGACCCAAAACUGGCAAACUCUUUACAGCACCUUUGGACCGUCCACGUUUAAAGAAACGUUCGUGAAAAUUUAUCGUAAAGGGUACUUGUAAUCAGUUUUCAGAUUAAUGUUCAGAUGCCGUACCUUCCAAGUUGCCAGGAUGAACUACGUAUUUAUCUUCAAAACAAGCACCAGCUCGAGAAGAUCCAGAGAGUCGCGAACGUUUGGAGAACCAAGCACUUGAGAAAGUCAUUGAGCAGAGUGUGGGAUCACACAAAAAAUGAUGGAAAAGAGUUCAUUUGCUAGUUUAGAAGAUUUUAAAUCAAAAUUAUCUGAUUGUGAAAAGCACAGUGACUGGGUCACGGUAACUAAAUCAAAUAAUUUGUGUCUUGUGUUAAAGGAUGCUCCUUAUCUAAAUGUUGUGUGGCAUGUCGUUAUAAAUAGUGAUUUAGUGUUAAGUGCAUUUGUGAAGGAAGCUGAGCUAAAUUGUGCUGGUACGAUUAAAUUACCAAACCAAGUAAGUGAUACUGGUACAGUUAGCAAUAUUUUGAAAGAGUUGUAUGUGAUGUUUCAUAUAAAUGAGGCUCCAUUUGACGCAAGUUUGUCUUGCAUUGAAGACAUUUUGGAAAACUUGUAAGAAAAUUUACCAGAAAGUGAGCAUAAAAUUAAAUUUUUGAAGGAA